CGAGCCCCCCCACCUCUCUCCCCGCCCGCAGACGAGGACUUCGCCGCGCCGCCGAAGAAGGCUCGCCCCGCCGGGAAGAGAGUUCCUCUUGGUGAGAAACUUUUCCAGAGAGACUUGGAAGUUACCUUAGCUGUAUCUUUGAAUGAAUAUUUGGGGAACAAAGAUAAAGUUCAGAAAAAAGAUGAUCGUGCUGAACCUAAGGCAGCCGUAGAGGAUUUCAAACAGGAAACUGUGUUAUGCACACCAGAGACGGACAACGAUGGAAAUCUAUGUGCCAGUCAGGAAAACUCUCAGCCGCUUUUAGAAAUUGAAUUAGGUUCUUCAGAAUCAGUUGGGAAGCCUUUGAAGACCUCAAGCCCUUCGGUGCCCAAGAAGCCCAGCUGGACACCCCCAGGUGCAUCUGGAAGCAAAACCAGCCUGAUGGGAAGAACUCCUGUUAGAUCACCAGUUCACGGUCUCCGGCUUGGCCUCUCCAGACUCGCCAGAGUGAAACCUUUGCACCCACCUUGUGCUGGUACCUAAGAAGGUCUUAGGCUGACACGAGAAGGCUGCAGAUUGAAGUGGAAGAGGAGAAAUCCGUUUUUAAAAAAAUAUAAAGGCAUCCCAAUUUGGAAAAAAAGCUUUGCCUUUUAAAAAUGAGUCCUGUAAAAUGGGACUAUUGUCCCUUAAAAUACCCAGCAAUAUUGUCCCUCAAAAGUUUGAAGUGAUAAUGCCCUGGGUUCCAUCUUCUUUCCCUCAACGAGUUGGCCAACAACGCAACCCAAUCUUUCUAGUUUUAUCCCAGUUUUGGCCAAUUCUGGCUUUUGAGGAUUGCCUAACCAGCAACAGUGGUUCAGAGUAUCUGUUGACCAUCUAGAGUCGAGUGUCUCAACCAUGGCAACUUUUAAGAAGUGUGGCCUCCAACUCCCAGAGUUCCCCAGCCAAACCCUGGAGAAUUCUGGGAGUUGAACUCCACACAUGUUAAGGUUGCCAUGGUUGAGAAACAUGGUUCUAUAGAAUGUGUUUUAAAACCACUGUGAAGACAGCAUGUCAGGAGUUAGCUUGUUACUCCUUGAUUUUACUUCUAAUAGAAAACACAGUCAUUGCCAUCAGUUCACAACUGUUGUUUUCCUGACCAAUCAAAUGCGUGUUCAGCUUUUAGUCCUUGCAAGCAUCACUUGCUCUUUGAAUGAGAUACUGUAGUGAUCAAAUAUUGUGACUUUAGACAACGAAAU
Molecule: long non-coding RNA, 1214 nt
Filed under: Notechis scutatus (mainland tiger snake)
Lineage: Eukaryota; Metazoa; Chordata; Lepidosauria; Squamata; Elapidae
Description: lncRNA (ENSNSUG00000002743.1)
Source: RNAcentral